AGAAGAUUAGCAUGGCCCCUGCGAAAGGAUGACACGCAAAUCCGUGAAGCGCUCCUUUUUUUC
RNAcentral lists this small nuclear RNA (63 nucleotides) under Salmo salar (Atlantic salmon). Lineage: Eukaryota; Metazoa; Chordata; Actinopteri; Salmoniformes; Salmonidae. The record is from RNAcentral.